This 468-nucleotide ribosomal RNA is filed under the name uncultured bacterium. RNAcentral's name for it is "partial 16S ribosomal RNA". It matches the Rfam family "Bacterial small subunit ribosomal RNA", at positions 28 to 507 of the family's 1533-position model. The record is from RNAcentral.
GACGAACGCUGGCGGCGUGCUUAACACAUGCAAGUCGAACGGAAAGGCCCUGCUUUUGUGGGUUUCUCGAUUGGCGAACGGGUGAGUAACACGUGAGUAACCUGCCCUUGACUUUGUGAUAACUUCUGGAAACUGGGGCUAAUACCGGAUAGGAGCUCCUGCUGCAUGUUGGGGGUUGGAAAGUUUCGGCUGUUGGGGAUCGACUCGCUGCUUAUCAGCUGCUUUGUGGGGUAGUGGCUUACCAAGGCUUUGAGGGGUAGCCGGCCUGAGAGGGGGACCGGCGACCUUGGGCCUGAGAGACGGACCAGAAGCCAAUCGGAGGCAGUGGUGGGGAACAUUGCAGAAUGGGCGGAAGCCUGUUGCAGCAGCGCCGGGUGCGGAAUGACGGGUUAUGGGUUGUAAACAGCUUUGGAAGUAACUAAAGAGGGAGUGACGGUAACUGGUAAAGAAGCCACGGCUAACUACGUG